Molecule: long non-coding RNA, 6611 nt
Filed under: Heterocephalus glaber (naked mole-rat)
Lineage: Eukaryota; Metazoa; Chordata; Mammalia; Rodentia; Bathyergidae
Description: lncRNA (ENSHGLG00000038646.1)
Source: RNAcentral
CCUCACCCACGCCGCACCCGCGUCCCCAUCCCCAGAUCUGUUUGGGCAAAGUUGCUUAUGGUUCUGUCUCCCAGAGAAAGGAGCGUCCCAAAGCCGGGAGGGGCACCUGAGGUGACCCGAGACACCCUGAGCAGAGCGGGUGUGUCCCUCCAGCCACUGGAGACGUCCCCUUUGUUUCCCUGCACCUGGGGGCUUGAAAUGUCGAGGCCACAGUGCUUCGUGUGACCCUGGAGUCGUGCAGACCCCUUCCACCCCCGCCGUGUCCCCCCAACUAGGGCACAGGGAAGCAUCCAGAAAGAAGGGGACCCACAUGUCCUGGAACCCAGACACCUUCCUCCCAGCCCUUAUGGUCACAAGCAGUUAAAUUAGCGCACAUUUAUUGCGGGAAUUUGAAUCUGUCCCUGGCUACGGUCUUUGCCUGUGGGGCCUGGCCUGGGUCUUUCCCAGGACACUGCCAGUCCUCACGUGUCUCAUGUCGCAGGGAACCUGGACAGCAAUGGCUGUGAUCAUUUCACUUCUCCAGCCUGGAAAUCUCCUUUGCACCUAGGCACUCAGCUCCCAGGAGCAGAGGAGGGGGCGGAGGGAUGGAUGAAGGAGUGGUGUAGGGCACACAGAGGUGCAGUUUUCCGUCUGGGGAGCAGGGAAGGGUGUCCCAGAGGAGGUGACAUUCAGACGGGGUCCCUGAGGCUGAGUUGUUUCAGGAGGGAUUGCAUUUGCCUCCUCAGCAAUUGCUCUUGUUCUUGGUAGUACCCUAGUUUUUACUUUAUACUCACUUCUCCCUCUUAGCCACAUACGGGGGUGGGGGGGAGCUGAUUCCAGAGAGAGGGAGAGAGAGAGUGAGCGAGAAGGAGGGCAUGUGGAUGUGGUUUAGGGCUUAGGCUGAAAUGAAUCAGUGUGUUGCCAUCCCUAGGCCAGAGUUUCAGAAGUGCAGUAUGACAAAGAAAAUAAUUUUCUUGGUCCUCUAAAAGAGUCCCUGAAGCAAAGGAAUUCACUCUGUCUCUUCCUUCCUACCUUCUCCUUGGCUCCCCCAGGCUGGAGCAAGGGAUCUCACAGGCUUGAAUGUUGACUCAGGAUGGAGUGGACAAGGGGAUCGGGCCUGGAUUCAGGCAGACACUGGAUGAGGUGUGCAGGGGCCGAGGCCACAAGGACCUUGUGGAGCCCCAACUUCAGCCAUGCUGUAAGCCGAUCCUGUGAGCACUUUCCAGUUCCAGAUCAGUCCAAGCCACCUUGAGUCAGGAAGCUUGAGCCCUGGAGCAUGAUGAUGGGUAACAGCCAUCUGGUGGGCUGCCACCCACUUCUCUGCCUUGCUGGAGGUCACGCUGUCCCCAGUGCUGCCCAAACCCCACAGGCAUCGGAAAUGACCCAGAGCUUCGUGAAGGCUGCAGAUCCCCCAGCUCAUACUUGGGCACCUCCUGUGCCCCAUGCUCUGCAAGAAGCCUUUGAGGGAGGAGCUAGGGACAGAGCCCAGCAGCAUUUCCAUCACCCCACAAAGAAAUCCUGGAACCAUGAAAGCCACUCCCCAUUCCUUCAUCCUAGCCCCUGGCAGCCACCAGUCUGCUUUCUGUCUCCGUGGAUCUGCCUAUUCUGGACAUUUCAUGGCCAUGGAAUCAUCCCUUACAAGGCCUUUUGAAUCUGUCUGCUCAACAUGAUGUCUCGGCAUCAGCAUUUCAUUCUUUUUUAUUACCAAGUAACAUUCCAUUGUGUGGAUAUGCCUUGUUUUGUUUACCCAUUCCUCAGGUGAUGUUUAUUUGGAGCUUUCCACUUUGGGCUCUUAUGAAUAACCCUGCUAUGAACAUUUGCGUAAGAGUUUUUGUGUGAACAUCUGCUUCCAAUUCUCGUGGGUACGUACAGUAAUGUUUGGCAUGACAACCGAUUGUGUAUAGGAUGGUGAUCCUGUAUACCCCGCACCAUCUAGUUUGUGUAAGUGGCACUGUGACAUUUAUACAAUGAUGAAGUCACCCAGCAACACACUUCUCAGGACCUGUCCUGGUCUCUGAUAUGUGACUGCCUAGGAGUGACACUCCCGAGUCCUAUAAUAAUUUUGUUUGAUGGCUUGAGGAGCUCCUCCAGUUUCCACAGCUGCACCAUUUUACAUUCCCACUAGUAAUAUGUGGCUGCAGUGUGUAGUGUUUUACUUUAUUUUAGAAAUCCCUUUCACACCCGUGACCUCAUUUAAUCCCAGUAGCCCUGCAAGGAAUUAUAUUCAUUUUUUUAGAUAAAGAGAUUGUAUGGGUGAGGAUUCUUUCAGUUGCAAGUGACAGAAACUCAAUGCCAAACGCUGUAGAAGAGCAGAAAUAGAAAUCUCAGAUAACUGGGAAGUACCAAGGUGUCCGACUGCAGACCAAGUGUCUCAAAUGAAUGUUACUGCUUUCUUUCUGUCUUCUCUUAGUUUUGCUUCAUUCUCUUCUCCUUUUCUACAGCAGGCGAGGUUUCUCUGCCUGUCUAGAGAGAUGGCAGGAACCAGCCACAAGCUUAUACUUUACGGAUUCUAAAAGGAGAGAAGUGGCUUCCCUCUUAGAUCCAGCAGAGAAGUCCAGAGCUUUGGUUCGUGUCUCCCCUGCACAAAUCACAGUGUCUGGAGGACUUGGUAGGAUAAUUGGCCCAGCCUGGGACGCACCCCACCCUGAGGGGUUGGGAGGAAAAGGGUAGCAAGAUAGACAGUUUAAGCAAGGCGGCCAGACAUUAUGGGAGAGGAGCUCCCUAAAGGAACUAGGAAAGGGGGCAGCAAAGUACUCUGGAGAGACAAACCCAUAAUUGGUAAGUCUACUCCAGAGGUCGAAGCUCAAGCAGUAAAUUUGCUCAAGAUGCCCCAGCACCUAUUUGGUGGAACUGCAAUGAGGACCAGGAGUCUGCAUGCAGGCCGCAUAUCCCAGGCGAGGUUGCUGGGUUUCAGUGGGAGAAAUGGUUUGGAUUGGUGCUCCCAGCACCUCUGCCUCACUUUCUCCAACUCUCUUCUCUCUUCUCCCUUCAGGUGUCUCUCUUUCCUACUCCCUGGAUCUUUCUCUUGGCCCUCUCUUCUGUGUUCUGGGAUCCUCCAAAUGCAGCCACUUUCCACAUCAACAUGGGGGCCCCACCUGAGGCCCUGCCUGGCUUCCAGGCUCUUUUUGGAACCACAGCCCCCCCCCCCCCCGCCCAGGUCUGACUCCCUCCCCGUACCAUCCCUUAGUCUGUGCUCAGGAAACACAAAUUCUUUUCUAUUUUUUUAAACAUAAACUUAAGCAAACUUAUAGUUACUGGGAAGCCACAUCUUAUGCCAAAAAAAUGAUACAAUAAAUUCCAAAGCAAAUAAAUAAAGGUAGAGAAGAAAGCCACCAGAUUGCAUUUGUUAUCUGCAGUAUGAAUGACACGCAUGUUGUUCCAAGCCAAGAAUGCAUGAGAUGGAAGGUGAGUGUGCUGGUCACGCACAGAUGGGCUUAGAGGACUUCCCUUGUUUUCUGUCUGUCACACUAACAAAAUGAAUGUGUUUAACCCUAGAGAAUCACGUUUAUCCCAGUAGCUAGCAUGCAUUACCCCGGCUACUCUCUACUUCAAAGUCCAGUCUGGUGAAGCCGGGAAGGUAACCCUGUUCUUCUGGACCCUCUGCUGAGCCCAGUCUUAUUCCCAUUGCUGAGGAUGAGAGACUGAUAUUUCUCAUGCAACCAAGCCCUGCACACAACCUCCACUGAACCCAGGAUGUUACUCUGUGAUCUCCAUUUCUCAAGCCACAAGUAUGUCCAGCAUUCGCAGUAAAGAUAUCAAGGAAGGCAGCCUCCCCACACACAGGCACGCAGGAAGGAGAGGAAAACAGCCCUUGGAAGGAAAAGUGUGUCAAAGGGUUAAAUGCCAAGGAGGCAAGUCCUAGGAUUUUGCAGGAGUGAAGGAGUGAUAAAGAGGCCCCUGAACAGAGCAGGAACUGUAAGAGGGAGGCAGCAGAGAGAGCAAAAACAAUCUGCAGGUCCUGCCUCUCCAUCCAGCUGCGAGCUGCUCCUAGCCUUCUGCAUGACGUCUUCAGCAGGAAGGGUGUGCAGGGAUUUCUGAACAUCCCGAGUUGCAUAACUGAUCCUAGAAGUAGAAGAGAAAUGAGAGCACAGCCUAAGACAAACCAUAAAAAACGCACAUGACAGCAUGACCUGUAAUGAAACCACUAUCUAAUCGUUGUCUCCAGCCAGAUUUGCAGGUCAACCUCCCUAAACCAGUGGCCAGAAAAAGGACCGCACCUCCCUCUACCUUCCCUUCUGCCACAGGGUGGAGAUGCUGGCCUUGUCCCUUUCAUCAAAUGCCUGCCAGCCUGGGGCAGCCACCAGCGAGCGCCUGCUUGGGGACAGCUCUGCGGUCCGCAAUGUUUCUGCAGAGGGCACUUCCGGCUCUCCCCAGGAGGUCAGCCCAGCCUGCCCCAGCUGCUGCUGCUUAGCCUCAAGCACGGACUGGAAAUAAACAGCUCCCAGGCAAUCUGCAGCUGGGGCAGAGGCUGAGGGUGGUGUUGCAGGGAGGUAUGGGGAAUGGGAAUGUUUUAGUUGAUGUUUGGAUAAGGUGCUUCUGUGACCAUUUUUUUCUCUGCUGAGUGUUAGUGAGAAAAAGAUGGGCACAAGUGUUGGACCUGAGGUUUCCUGAGAACUUCCGCCCAGGGAGACCAAAACUCAGGCACGAUGAGCAGGAUAAUUGCAAGAGACACAGAGAUAACUUGGUCCUUGGUCGUUGUGAAUGGCUGAGGUGCCUGAGGUUGCUCAUGAGGCUGUAGGUAGGAAGUAGAGUGGUUUAAAGUGGGCAUUGGGGUUCUGGCUUAGAACCCCAGCCUCACCCCUCCCCAGCUGGAUGAUUUGCUAUUUAUAAUCAUUUCACCACCACCUAUAAAAUGAAAACAAAACAGCAGGCCCUUAUGGAACACUGUCAGUCUAAGCCAGUGCCAAACACAGUACUAACUAAGGUCUUAGCAUAUGUUAGAACAGUCACUGAGUUGUUGAAGAAAUUGGUGCUAUUAUUAUUGCCAUUUUACAGACAAAACUGAGGCACAUAAGAGAGCAUUGCUGCUGGAGGACUCACUGCUGGUACAUGGUGGGGCCUGGGAUGACCUCAGGCAGUCUGCCCGUAGUGCCCUUGACCACCCUGUCCCUGCGGUUGCUGUGAACAACAGAUGAAAUGCAGCUUAUAAAGGACUUGGCGCCGUGCCUGCCCCAUGGCCAGCUCUCAAUAAAUGUUAGCUUUUAUUAUUAAGAACACACGAAGCAGCACAAAACAGACCAGGCAAGCUACUCACAUAGUUUGAGAUCCUUAACAAUGCCUGGUGUUUGUUUGGCUCUGUGUAGAAUUCAAAGCGCUCUACCAGUGAGGCCUCCUAUAACCUCGCUGCUGCCCCUGAGGGCAGAGGGGCAGUGUGGAAUGCACACAAGAAGGGCAGUUUCUGCAUAAGGUCCUACGCUGGCUCUCUGGUCAUCUAUUCCCAGGGAGUGUGCAGGGACACCUGGGAGCCUGAAUGGCAUGGUGUGUGAGCUGAGAAGAUGCUGAAGAGCCACCAGUAUAUGACCUUUUACCAUGUUAACUCAGAUUCUAUUUACAUAAACAUUUUAUACUCGUCUCUAUAAACUGUGAUACAACAGUUUCUUGAUUCUUUAUUCUUUUUACCUUUUUGUAAUGGAAGUCUAAAGGGAUUACAACAAACGCAGAUUACAAACUCAUAAAAUCACCUUAAAAAGUAAAAAUAGUGGACCAAGUGUUAAACAAUAGAACCUACUGUUUGAACAGCAGUUUCCAGUUUAUGAAUAAGUAUGAUCUCAUUUCAACCUCAUGACAAUUCAUUACUGGACAUAACUGUGCCGUAAAACUCGAGUUUAGGGGAGCUACUCUAAUAGGGAAUAGUAUGGCUACAACCCAGUCUGCCCUUAAUGAAUUUUGCCUGAGUUUUCUUUUUGGCUACCAAAAGAGUUUGUGUUAGUGUCUCCUAUUGUGACUCAGUAAAAGACUGAAUAUAGAAUGAGUGGUUUCGCUCUUUCUUUUUUCUAUUUCUCUCCUUCCCUCCCCUUCCUUCUCCUUCCCUUCUCCUUCCCUUCCCCAUAUUUGGACUUUUCUGGACUCUGUCCUAUACACCUGUGAUGGUUAAUUUUAGGUGUCAGCUUGUCUGAAGAAAGGGACACCCAGACAGUUGGUAAAGUUUUAUUUCUGGGAGGAAUGGUUGGUUUCAAAUUUCAAGUCUCAUACUUAACAUUUCUGUGACUUUGGCCAAGUUACUGACACCUUGGUGUUUCAGAAUUCUCACCUACCAAGAGAGUAGCUACCUCUUGCGAGUAUUGGGAAGGGUAAAUGAGCAAACACACAUAAAGUGUUCGGAAAGGUACUGGGCACACACUAACUCAGUGCUGUUUGCUUAUAUGAAAUAAAAACAGAAAUUAUCUUCCACAAAGAUUGUAGAAUUAUAGCUGUGCUUAUAGUUCUGUGUAUUUUUGCUUUGUAGAUUUUUGAGGCUAAAUUGUUAGGGGCAUACAAGUUUAGGAUCCACAUACCUUCUUAGUGUCUUGAAUCUUUUAUUUACUUCUUUAGCAAUGCCUUUUGCCUUAAAAUCUACAUUGUGUGAUAUUAACACAGUUUCACUGAUUUGGUUAGUGUUUUUUUUUUCCAGUAUUGUGGAUCAAACUUAGGAC